GGGAAGGAGUGGGGAAGGUGUAGGAGCUGAGAAAAAGAGACACUAUUGGAACAUUUCAUAUUAAAAUGCUAGCAAUAAUAGUUGUCACUGCCACACACACACCAGUUCAAUAAUAUGAUUAAGAGUUAAAUCUCAAGUAAACACAAAUGAGUUCCCUCAAAAAAAAAAAUGUAAACGCAAAUGAGACUUGUAAAAUAUUAAUCUGAAGUUAGCUAGCUUCCUAACUCAAUAAUACAAAUCGUCUGUCGUCAAAAAAAUAAUACAAAUGCUCAUUCAUCAGGUGUCACUAGCACACAGUUCAAUAAUAUGAUUACCC
This 316-nucleotide unclassified non-coding RNA is filed under the name Hevea brasiliensis (rubber tree). The record is from RNAcentral. Lineage: Eukaryota; Viridiplantae; Streptophyta; Magnoliopsida; Malpighiales; Euphorbiaceae.